CUAGCUCAGGAUGAACGCUGGCGGCGUGCUUAACACAUGCAAGUCGAACGAAGCACUUGACCUUCGGGUCUUGUGACUGAGUGGCGGACGGGUGAGUAACGCGUGGGUAACCUGCCCUGUACAGGGGGAUAACAGUUAGAAAUGGCUGCUAAUACCGCAUAAGCAUACGAGGAGGCAUCUCCUGGUGUGAAAAACUCCGGUGGUACAGGAUGGGCCCGCGUCUGAUUAGCUGGUUGGCAGGGUAACGGCCUACCAAGGCGACGAUCAGUAGCCGGUCUGAGAGGAUGAACGGCCACAUUGGAACUGAGACACGGUCCAAACUCCUACGGGAGGCAGCAGUGGGGAAUAUUGCACAAUGGGGGAAACCCUGAUGCAGCAACGCCGCGUGAGUGAUUGAAGUAUUUCGGUAUGUAAAGCUCUAUCAGCAGGGAAGAUGAUGACGGUACCUGACUAAGAAGCUCCGGCUAAAUACGUGCCAGCAGCCGC
RNAcentral lists this ribosomal RNA (486 nucleotides) under uncultured bacterium. RNAcentral's name for it is "bacterial SSU rRNA". It matches the Rfam family "Bacterial small subunit ribosomal RNA", at positions 19 to 518 of the family's 1533-position model. The record is from RNAcentral.